Molecule: long non-coding RNA, 1269 nt
Filed under: Linum usitatissimum (flax)
Lineage: Eukaryota; Viridiplantae; Streptophyta; Magnoliopsida; Malpighiales; Linaceae
Description: long non-coding RNA (LUSI_LNC007702)
Source: RNAcentral
ACUUAGUAGACAGUUUUAUUAAUAAACAGUUUAACAACCUGCACAUUAAAUCGAUAACAAGUAGUCAGGGAGGCCAGCAGGACCAACAAAGUGAUGACAACGUUAGCUUCACGUCGCAUGCUCUAGUAAGCAAAUUGGAAGAGAAACACCUCAACAUUACUUUUGAUGUCCACCUGCCAUAUAUACAUGUAGAAAAUAUCAAAUACAAACAUCACGGACAUCCAAAGACUCCAAGACAUAGAGGUCAAGCUAAGGAGCUUUCGAUAUGUUCGUCUCACUACCUACAAGGAUUAUGAAGAGCUAAUGACCUGAUGAGCCAUGUUGAUGUGAAUGAGCUAGUACCCAAUAAGACACAAGGACCAUAGAUUAAAAAAAAAUUGUAUGGAUGUCCAUUAUAGAAUGUAACUAAAUUCAUAUCCAAAAUAUUUAGCUUACGUUAUCAAUCACACAUUUCUACCCACUAAACUAUCUCACAUUGACCAACUCGACAACCAUGGCCCUGCCCAAAAAAAAAAGUCGGUGUUUCAACCAUAUCAACAAUUCUUUGCCUUGGUUAUUAUCCUUUAAUGUUCCUAUUUCUAAUGAAUUAGCAUCUUUGCUUCAAUUUGCGGAAUCUGGGAAUGGAAGAGUCAGAUACGGAGAAUAAACAAAAAGGAAAAGUUAAAUUCUGUGAGAUUUUGUUCCUCUGUACUUGCUCACAAGAAGCUUCGUUCGAUUGAUCGUCACAGCACUCUGGGGUACUCGCGAUACUGCAUAAAUUUCAAGUGCUGAAAUCGUCUGUUCUAAACACUAAAAUCACGAGGAUUCUGAAUUUAGAACCGUAAAAACGUUUACUCGAUGGAAUGACGAUGCAUGUUCUCGCUCACACCCAACGUACUCUACGUAUUCCUACGUAUUCAUGAUGAGAAGGAAGUUCAGCUUUUGCUCAAGCCAAGGCGGCUGCAAAGCACUCCUUGUUAAUAACGUGGCUCCGCCACCGAAUUUAUCACCUCCUCCUCAAUCUCUUCAAAUUGCAUGGGUCAGCAACACAAAGUGCAUGUUUCUGAAGCUUUUGUAUGUAUGGAUUACGUGUUGAUUCAAGCAGUGGGUUUCGGCCUAGCUACAAGAAGGAUGCAUGCAUGGCCUUUUGAUACGUCGUUGGGGACUCCAGGCACAAAACUACAUAUUCGAAUCAGCAUAAAAUCUUUCUUACCUUUGUGCGUGCCGGAAAGCCAUCCAGGCGGCAUUGACUUGCAUUGAUUCGUAUGCAUCUAUCUAGAAUUAUUACAU